RNAcentral lists this ribosomal RNA (499 nucleotides) under uncultured bacterium. Its description in RNAcentral is "partial 16S ribosomal RNA". It matches the Rfam family "Bacterial small subunit ribosomal RNA", at positions 28 to 507 of the family's 1533-position model. The record is from RNAcentral.
GACGAACGCUGGCGGCGUGCUUAACACAUGCAAGUCGAACGGGCCCGCCCCUGUUUUUGGGGGUGGGUUGAGUGGCGAACGGGUGAGUAUCACGUGAGUAACCUGCCCCCUGCUCCUGGAUAACUGCUUGAAAGGGCGGCUAAUACGGGGUGUGCCGGCUGGUCCGCAUGGGCCUGGUCGGGAUAGUUUCAUCUUCGGGUGUUUCGGUGGGGGAUGGGCUCGCGGCCUAUCAGCUUGUUGGUGGGGUGAUGGCCCACCAAGGCGGUGACGGGUAGCCGGCCUGAGAGGGUGGGCGGCCACACUGGGACUGAGACACGGCCCAGACUCCUGCGGGAGGCAGCAGUGGGGGGUAUUGCACAAUGGGCGGAAGCCUGAUGCAGCGACGUCGCGUGAGGGAUGGAGGCCUUCGGGUUGUGAACCUCUUUCUCCGGUGGGGAAGGCCCUGUCCGUUGCGGCGGGGUUGACGGUAGCCGGGUAUGAAGCGCCGGCUAACUACGUG